UCUAAGUACAACCAUAAAUUUUCGUGUUUAAAUUUGAUCGUCCAUUUUAUUUAAUUUUUUUUAAUUAGUAUUUUAUUGUUAUGGGAUGAUAAAACAUAAAUAAUAUUUUAUGUAUGAUUUUUUUAAAAAAAAUAAAUAAAACGAAUGAACAAAAUUUAGUACGGAAAAGCAUGAUUGUACACGAA
This is a non-coding RNA of Oryza glaberrima (African rice), 185 nucleotides long. NCBI's taxonomy places the organism in Eukaryota, Viridiplantae, Streptophyta, Magnoliopsida, Poales, Poaceae. The record is from Rfam.